GACGUAGGAUGCAAGCGUUGUCCGGAUUUAUUGGGCGUAAAGAGUUCGUAGGUGGUUUGUUAAGUCUGAUGUUAAAGACUGGGGCUCAACCUCGGGACUGCAUUGGAUACUGGCAGACUUGAGUGCGGUAGAGGCAAGUGGAAUUCCAGGUGUAGCGGUGAAAUGCGUAGAUAUCUGGAAGAACACCGGUGGUGUAGACGGCUUUCUGGACCAUAACUGACGCUGAGGCACGAAAGCGUGGGUAGCAAACAGG
This 253-nucleotide ribosomal RNA is filed under the name uncultured bacterium. Its description in RNAcentral is "partial 16S ribosomal RNA". It matches the Rfam family "Bacterial small subunit ribosomal RNA", at positions 524 to 776 of the family's 1533-position model. The record is from RNAcentral.